UAGAGGAGAGCCUCAUUUUAAUCCCAGCUACAGCUGUGACUUAGAAAUAAUAGUGAGGAUAACUAAGAUAACUGUUGGCUAGGUAUUUAAUUAGCUAAGACUUUUUGAAACGCUCUUACAGAUAAUUCAGAAAUAUCUUCCACAGUAACAGAAAUUGGGGUGGGAGGAAGGCUGAUAGUAUUGUUUUCAUGUCUACAUUAGAUACAAAAUAACCUACUCUUUACUUUAAGGGCCCUGAGGUUCCCCUCUCCCAGGAAGUUCAGAUGUUUUGGCUUAGGGUCUUUUAGAGAUAGGACAACUGAGAGCAGCCCUCUUCCUCUGGUGAUUGUGGAGUGACCUCUGUGCUGAUUUUACUGAAAGAAAUACCUAAAAUAGGAACUAUAUCUGUAGCUAGUAACCCUCUAAAUAUAUAUUAGAAAGGAAACUGCAUUCAUGAACUUUAGUCUCCUGGGCACUUGGAUAUGCCUCUUGUGGUGCAGCUGAAUCCAUUGAAGAGACUGCUCUUCUCAGCUACUCCUCAGCACCUUCUGGCUGAAAGUUACCUUCCCUCCUCUCAGCCUUCAGACAAAGGGGACUUCUCUGAAGUAAUACAUGAGAUCCAAGAGAUUAAAAACAGGAUGCUGAAGUGGUAGGAAGAAUCCUUUUUGUUAGUUUUAAUUUUGAAAACUACAGAAUAUACUAAUAUACUUUCACAUUUUUAUUCCAUGUUGUUUAAUGGUAACAUACUUUCAAUAUUAAAACUUAUUAACAAACAUAAGUAAAGAUCUGACAUCCACGAAUUUCACAUCUAAAUGUGAAAUGACUGAAAAACCCUACAAUACUGAGGCAUUUUCACAAGUUCCUAGUUUCAGAAAAUGUGCCUUUAGGGAAUCUAGAGGGUAACAAAAUUUUUUACCAUAUUUUACUGGCAGCUUAGGCUAACGUUCAAAGCAGGUUUCAAAAAAGCUGGGAGUGAAAGAAACACUCUCUAAAGGGUUGUCAUUACAGCAAUAAUAAAAAUGUGAAGCGUUUCUAAUCUGUGAAAGAA
This 1027-nucleotide long non-coding RNA is filed under the name Anser brachyrhynchus (Pink-footed goose). RNAcentral's name for it is "lncRNA (ENSABRG00000021766.1)". The record is from RNAcentral. Lineage: Eukaryota; Metazoa; Chordata; Aves; Anseriformes; Anatidae.